RNAcentral lists this ribosomal RNA (224 nucleotides) under Venus verrucosa. RNAcentral's name for it is "partial 28S ribosomal RNA". It matches the Rfam family "Eukaryotic large subunit ribosomal RNA", at positions 1210 to 1425 of the family's 3401-position model. The record is from RNAcentral. Lineage: Eukaryota; Metazoa; Mollusca; Bivalvia; Venerida; Veneridae.
UACCAUAAAAGGUGUUGGUUGAUAUAGACAGCNGGACGGUGGCCNNGGAAUCCGCUAGGAGUNUGUAACAACUCACCUGCCNAAUCAACUAGCCCUGAAAAUGGAUGGCGCUGNAGCNUCGAGCCUAUACCGGNNCGUCGCCGCAAUACGAGCCNCCAGGGAGCCAUGCGGCGACGAGUAGGAGGGCCGUCGUGGUGAGCGUAGAAGCCCGGCGAGUGAUCGCG